Molecule: ribosomal RNA, 493 nt
Filed under: Chromadoridae sp. AH4R09
Lineage: Eukaryota; Metazoa; Nematoda; Chromadorea; Chromadorida; Chromadoridae
Description: SSU rRNA
Rfam family: Eukaryotic small subunit ribosomal RNA
Source: RNAcentral
CAAAGAUUAAGCCAUGCAUGUCUUAGCAUGAGCUGAAUAAUAGUGAAGCCGCGAAUGGCUCAUUACAACAGCCGUUGUUUCUUGGAUCUUGUUUUACUUGGAUAACUGUGGUAAUUCUAGAGCUAAUACAUGCUAAAAAGCUCUAACCUUACGGAAGGAGCGCAUUUAUUAGACCAAGACCAAACAGGCUUUGCCUGGAAUCUGGUGACUCUGAAUAACUUUGCUGAUCACAUGGUCCUAGCACCGGUGACAUUUCUUUCAAGUGUCUGCCCUAUCAACUUUCGAUGGUAGCUUAUGCGCCUACCAUGGUGGUAACGGGUAACGGAGAAUAAGGGUUCGACUCCGGAGAGGGAGCCUGAGAAAUGGCUACCACAUCCAAGGAAGGCAGCAGGCGCGCAAAUUACCCACUCUCAGUGCGAGGAGGUAGUGACGAAAAAUAACGAGAUGGUUCUCUACGAGGCCCAUCAUCGGAAUGGGUACAAUCUAAACCCUU